AUGCUUCAUCCCAAAUUCCACCCCUCUAUUUCAACCAAGUCAUUCUCUCCUCCAUGCAUCCCGUUGGCUUGCCUUCCUAAGUCCACGGACCCAUUGCCAGUGAGAUGUGUUGUCGUUUUUGAGGCCUGCUUCCGAAUGGUCCUCCUUCCUGUGUUCCAGCCUCUGGGAUUUAGUUUCAGUUUUCAAUACAAACUUCGAGAAUUUCCAGUAUUACUUGGUGAGGGUGAGCUGGUAGACUGUCUGCGCACUUUUGCAGUGUGGAGAACAUCCCGGAAGGAAAGGAGCCAAGACAGGAGUUUGUUUUCUCAGCUGACUAGAUUGUGGGCGAAGUGA
This 333-nucleotide long non-coding RNA is filed under the name Capra hircus (goat). Its description in RNAcentral is "lncRNA (ENSCHIG00010023569.1)". The record is from RNAcentral. Lineage: Eukaryota; Metazoa; Chordata; Mammalia; Artiodactyla; Bovidae.